This 75-nucleotide small RNA is filed under the name Mycobacterium decipiens. RNAcentral describes it as "Mycobacterium sp. TBL 1200985 Actinobacteria sRNA Ms_AS-8". It matches the Rfam family "Actinobacteria sRNA Ms_AS-8". The record is from Rfam by way of RNAcentral. Lineage: Bacteria; Bacillati; Actinomycetota; Actinomycetes; Mycobacteriales; Mycobacteriaceae.
CUUGAUCAGACCUACGUGAACUUCAGAUCAUCCUCGGGAAGGUGCGCCCACUUUCAGGCCGCCCUCACCAAGGGC